This 502-nucleotide ribosomal RNA is filed under the name uncultured bacterium. Its description in RNAcentral is "partial 16S ribosomal RNA". It matches the Rfam family "Bacterial small subunit ribosomal RNA", at positions 30 to 523 of the family's 1533-position model. The record is from RNAcentral.
AUUGAACGCUGGCGGCAGGCUUAACACAUGCAAGUCGAGCGGGGUGAUGGUGCUUGCACUAUCACUUAGCGGCGGACGGGUGAGGAAUGCUUAGGAAUCUGCCUAUUAGUGGGGGACAACAUCUCGAAAGGGAUGCUAAUACCGCAUACGUCCUACGGGAGAGAGCAGGGGAUCACUUGUGACCUUGCGCUAAUAGAUGAGCCUAAGUCGGAUUAGCUAGUUGGUGGGGUAAAGGCCUACCAAGGCGACGAGCUGUAGCGGGUCUGAGAGGACGAUCCGCCACACUGGGACUGAGACGCGGCCCAGACUCCUACGGGAGGCAGCAGUGGGGAAUAUUGGACAAUGGGGGAACCCUGAUCCAGCCAUGCCGCGUGUGUGAAGAAGGCCUUAUGGUUGUAAAGCACUUUAAGCGAGGAGGAGGCUCUUUUGGUUAAUACCCAAGAUGAGUGGACGUUACUCGCAGAAUAAGCACCGGCUAACUCUGUGCCAGCCGCCGCAGUAA